UGACGUAGUUGUGCUCGGCAGGAUCGAGUUUGAAACGGAUGUGGUUGGAGAUGUGAUCGUUGUGGAAUUGAUGAAGGAGAGGAUCCGCCGGUGUGGUAGCCGCGAGAGGGACGACGGGCAUGGGAGCGGAAGGGGCGGCAGUGGUGGAAGGGAGGAGAGGAGGAGAGGUCCCGGGAGUCGAGGACGGAGGAGGGGACGAGCCGGCGGCGACGUCAGCGGAGGGGAGGUCGCCGAAGAUGUCCUCGAAGCCCAUGGCGAUUGAUGCCAAGCUAGAGGGAGAGGGGGUCGCAGUGUACUGUUGUAUUGAGUGAGUUACGGAGGAGGUACACAUAUAGGGCGAUCCCCAACUGCUCCCGUCAGAAUAGGCACGCAGGCCAUGACUGGGUGCGAUCGCAUAAGAUCCUACAAUCUAGAGUUACAAUACAACAGAAGUACAUACAAUAUGAAUACAUGUACAGCUCGUUAACAGAGACAGGGAGAUCCCCUUUCACCUUUCCUUUUUAACAUAACUGCCAACUGCUUGCAGCAAAUGAUUCAGUUAGCCCAGACAAGUGGUCAGAUUGUGGGCCUGAUACUCCACCUGAUUGAUAAGGGAGUUGUCAUUUUGCAAUAUGUUGAUGAUACUAUCUUGUUCAUAUAGGGUGAUCUGGACAGUGCUAGGAACCUCAAAUUGUUGUUGUGUUUCAUUGAACGGAUGUCGGGUUUGAAAAUCAGUUUUCAAAAAAGUGGGGUCCUGAUGGUGCUACAGGAUGAUGAUAAAAGGCGAGUUAUGAUGCCCAAUUUCAGUUCAAAUUAGGUGCCUGGCCUAUCAAAUAUUUACAUGUUGUUGGCUGGAUUCAUGCUGAAAAGAAUAUUGUGGAGAGCUGGAAACCUGUCCCUUGGUGGCAAGGUGACUAAAAUCAAAGCUUGUUUAACCAGUAUUCCAAUUUACCAUUUCUUCAUGUAAAGGCAUGUUAUUUGUCCACCCUUUCUAAUAGAAGGGUUUUUUGGCAAGAGAAAAGCAAUAAGAGCAAAUGUCACUGGGUGAGAAGGCAUGUUAUUUGUAGGCAAAAGAAGAAAGGAGGGCUGGGUAUCCACAAUUUAGAGAAAUUCAAUGUCAGUCUCAUGUGUAAAUGGUGGUGGAAUCUGGAGAAUAAAGAAGUUAUGUGGCAGAAUGUAGUUAAAAAGAAAUAUGAGUUACAAUUGCUAAUGAUUCUCCAUGCUGGGUUGAUUUGAUGAAACUAAAACACAUCUAUAUAAAAGGUAGAAUUAUGACACCACUUCAUCCAUCCGGCUUUGAUUCGAUGGUUCACAUCUUCAUCAAUACCCCCAUCCUCCUGCAGCAUUGACCCCAAAUACCGAAAGGUGUCCUUCUAAGGUACCACCUGGCCAUCAAGGCUAACCUCCUCCUCCUCACACCUAGUAGUACUGAAACCGCACAUCAUGUACUCGGUUUUAGUCCUACUAAGCCUAAACCCUUUCGAUUCCAAGGUUUGUCUCCAUAACUAUGGAGAUAUUCAAAGAAUUACAACUUGAGGUAUGGGAUCUGACAGAGUUAGCCGAUGGUCACCAUUCUAUCAUCCCAAGCACCGUUCACAGCGAUAAAACAAUACUCCACUUAGACGUAAAGCAAUCUGAUCAAAAUUUAGAAGAGCACACAAAUCAGAACAUUUGACAACUGCCAAAGGAGAUAAACAUGUUCGACCUUCCUUACGAUAACUUCAAAAUCUGGAACAAAAUCUGGAACAGGAUUAGUUCAGGGUUCAAAGGGUGCUGCUCCACCACUAGACUGACAGUCGGUAUAUCAGGCGCUACAUUUGACAACGAUAAGAACACUGGAUUCCAGACACCAAAGACAAUUUUCCUGACCAUAUGCUCACUUGAGAGGAAUGAACCUCGACGAGUGGGUGGCACCGAUACCGGGCCUCCCGUGCUUCACCGGCUUGUACGACAGGGAGAACUCUGCCAGGUAGUGCCCAAUCAUCUCCGGCUUGAUCUCCA
Molecule: long non-coding RNA, 1980 nt
Filed under: Triticum aestivum (bread wheat)
Lineage: Eukaryota; Viridiplantae; Streptophyta; Magnoliopsida; Poales; Poaceae
Description: long non-coding RNA (TAES_LNC009286)
Source: RNAcentral